GAACAGCUGAGGUAGCGUUCAGUUUCAGCCCCAGUGCCAUUAUGAUGGAUGUUUACAUCUCUUCAUUGAGAGCCAAUUAUCUCGCUUUUGUGUGAGGCCCCAGGAUCACUCAUGCUGCCAGGCUGCACACAGCACUGUUGGAUCUAGCUGAACGAAUUGUUUUCCCUGUCUCUGGCCCUCCGGAAGCUGUGUAGAAGGCCCAGCCAAAGGGAGACACCUGGCUAAUUUGACGGGAGAGUAAAAAGAAGAGGGCCGGCGGUGGAGUGGGAUUAUUUCUGAGACACUGGGAGACCACUGUCAGUAACAUGAAUGAUAUCUUCUUAACUUCUUCCUCUCCCUCAGUCUCUCAUGAUGUGCGGGCUGAUGGGCCAAGCAGGCUCAGUCAUAGCAGAAAGAAAUUGUCCUGGAAUUCACGAACAAACCACCAAGGCCAUGGAGGUACAACUGUGAGACCUGACAGCCCAAAGGGAGAUUAAAGGUCCCACUCCUUGAAACACAGCAAGACUG
This 507-nucleotide long non-coding RNA is filed under the name Equus asinus (donkey). Its description in RNAcentral is "lncRNA (ENSEASG00005033072.1)". Lineage: Eukaryota; Metazoa; Chordata; Mammalia; Perissodactyla; Equidae. The record is from RNAcentral.